RNAcentral lists this ribosomal RNA (551 nucleotides) under uncultured Corynebacterium sp. MT9M86. RNAcentral describes it as "bacterial SSU rRNA". It matches the Rfam family "Bacterial small subunit ribosomal RNA", at positions 28 to 593 of the family's 1533-position model. Lineage: Bacteria; Bacillati; Actinomycetota; Actinomycetes; Mycobacteriales; Corynebacteriaceae. The record is from RNAcentral.
GACGAACGCUGGCGGCGUGCUUAACACAUGCAAGUCGAACGGAAAGGCCCUGCUUGCUGGGUACUCGAGUGGCGAACGGGUGAGUAACACGUGGGUGAUCUGCCCUGCACUUCGGGAUAAGCCUGGGAAACUGGGUCUAAUACCGGAUAGGAGCCAUUUUUAGUGUGAUGGUUGGAAAGUUUUUUCGGUGUAGGAUGAGCUCGCGGCCUAUCAGCUUGUUGGUGGGGUAAUGGCCUACCAAGGCGGCGACGGGUAGCCGGCCUGAGAGGGUGGACGGCCACAUUGGGACUGAGAUACGGCCCAGACUCCUACGGGAGGCAGCAGUGGGGAAUAUUGCACAAUGGGCGGAAGCCUGAUGCAGCGACGCCGCGUGGGGGAUGACGGCCUUCGGGUUGUAAACUCCUUUCGCUAGGGACGAAGCUUUUUGUGACGGUACCUAGAUAAGAAGCACCGGCUAACUACGUGCCAGCAGCCGCGGUAAUACGUAGGGUGCGAGCGUUGUCCGGAAUUACUGGGCGUAAAGGGCUCGUAGGUGGUUUGUCGCGUCGUCU